Molecule: long non-coding RNA, 4336 nt
Filed under: Brassica rapa (field mustard)
Lineage: Eukaryota; Viridiplantae; Streptophyta; Magnoliopsida; Brassicales; Brassicaceae
Description: long non-coding RNA (BRAP_LNC008217)
Source: RNAcentral
AGACUGAGGCAUCCGAUCAUGAAGCUUUAGAACAAGGUGGAAACUCUAGAAGAAGAAGCAGCCAAGGCUCAGCUAUUACAAGAUGAAGAGUGAUGAGCAAGAGAAGAUGUGAUCUACCUUGCAUCACAAGAAGGGGCCGAGAUCCAGAGUCUUUGUGUCCCUUACAUUGUUGGUAAGGCACAAAGACUCACUGGCCAAUCCCUAGGCCUUGGAGGCUUUACUCUUUUUCCCUCAUCAAGGUUUUGUCCCAAAGGGUUUUCCUUGGUGAGGUUUUUAAUGAGGAAGUUCUUCAAGGUUCCAAGCUUGACUUAGGAUCAGCUAAAGUCAAGCUUGAGGGGGAGUGUUGACUUGAAGAAAAGAAAUGGAGUGGUGAAGGGUUGAGUUGAGAUUGAGUCUUGAGCAAGAAUAGGGCAAGACCUCCGGAGAUUAUCUACGAAGACUUUAGGAGUGUAUGAAGGUGUCCAGAAGUGCUCAUAUGGCUGUGCAAAGAUAGGGCCAAGUCCAGGAGGGACUUAGAAGAGUGUUUGGGAGCAAAUGGGCAAGUGUGCAUACUUAGGGCGAGGCAGUACGGAUGGUACGGACCUGUACGGAUCCGUACGGACCGAGACAACCCGAGGAAACACAACUUGGCCAUUUGAGAUGUUUUGAGAUGGUGCAAAGUCCGGGACAAGAUGUGCAAACUUAGGGCGUGAUCAGAACAUGUCCGGGAGUCUGUGUGCAUACUUAGGGCUGAUAAAAAGAAGUCUGGUCGUGAAGCAUCAAAAGGGAAUCAAGAAGAUCCUUUGUGGAGGCAAGCGGCCAAUGAGAGCAAAGAUGGAGCUGAUUGGUUACUUUGGAGGAUGGACAGGCUGGCUUUGGCUGUAAAGCCAAAGGGAGCCACGACCAUGAACAUGGUCUGAAUGAAGGCUUGAUACAUGGGAGCCUAUAAGGAGCCAAUGGGAGAACAGCCUUCCCUUUGACCAGUUUGAAUCAACCAAUCAGAUAUCAUAUAGCUCUCAUCCAAUCAAGACAUUUCACACAGAUUGCAAUCUCAACUCUUCAUCCUAGCCAUCCAUUUAUAUUCAGUCAUUUCUAUCCACUAGAUUUAGGUUUAUGAGACUACAAAGUUGUAAACCUUAUAAAAGGAGGUGUGUGGCGAUUUUGUAAACCCUUAAGGGAGUUUGGGGGAUUUCCCCUCUCCACUUCAUAAUGAAAUGUGUUCUUGAAUCAGAUUCCCUUUAAUCUCUCCCUUUCUUAUACUCUUAAAUCUCUCAAAGUCUCUUGUUUCUGAUUUAAGUAAACACAUAAACACUCUUAUAAACUCUCUCUCUAAAAUCACCUAAAACAAACUCUAAUCUUCUCAGCUUGCUCCAUUGGAGCUUAUACACACACACAACCUGAGAUCUCUGAAAAUCUCAUUUGGUAUCAGAGCCAGGUUCAUCUGAAUCUGGUUGAAGCUUCCGCAAACCUCAGAGCUCACUACCAUGUCCAUUUCAACCAAGAAGAAGCUGUCUGUUCUAUCCGGCUGUUCAACACCUCAAGAGGCAGGCGUGUUCAUCCUGGAGUCCAGAAGCUGUCUGCUGCUGUUCCUCAACAUCCCAUGUCGCCCUUGAAGAAAGAAGAUCCAAGGAAACAAAGGCAAUGGAGCGGAUUAGCUACCCUCUCUAACAAAGCCAGUUCCUGGUUCUUGCUAUUCAAAGUCCAAGAAGAAGUUUCUCAAGAAGAAAGCUUGCUGCUUGUACUGGUGUGGCGUGUACAACAUGGAGAAAGGUGGGAGCUAAGACAUGGUGGUUCAAAAGGAAAGGUCCAUGGAAGAUGGAGGCGUUGGAGUGCACACUAACAACUCAGAAUCUGUCCAAUGGAAUCAAGGAUCUAUACAAAGGUCCUUGGCUGUAAGAAAGUUCUUUCCUUUUGUAUAAAGCUUGAGUAUAUUGACAGGUUGUGUUGUGAUUGAAAACUUGUGGAUGUUUAAAGAUUGCUAGAUAUGAAAUGUUUAGAAUCUGUCCCAAGAUACUAGAGAGUUGUGAAUGGUGAUUGAGAGUUGAGAAGCUUGCCUCGGUUCUAUAAUGAUUGUAUAGGAUACUAGAUGUGUCUGAUCCUGUUUACUUUCAUUGAUUGAAACCGAGUAGUAUAAUAAAGCUUAGAGUGUUGUUGCUGCCUUAGGUUGAUGCACUUGGAUUCAAGUCUAAGAUGCAGUUAAGGCAGAAGUUAAAAUUGCCUAAGUGUCUUGUAAUGAAUCUGUAGGAUCAUACUAGAACUUAGAGAGCUAAGCUUGUAAAGAUUUGAAACUUGGGUGUCUUGUUUGAUCUUGCAUUGCUUUAGUGAGACAUUGGUGUUCAAGCUUGAUGUGGAAUCAAGGACUGACCCAAUGCACCUAUGUCUAAUCUUCUCUGGAAGUUGAGUGGUGUUUCAGGUGCACAAGGAGUGUUCUUAGUUCUUCACCAAUCCAAGAGAAAGAGGAAGGCAUUGCCCAUUGUCAUGAGCAAUGGAGAGCGGUUACUGAAGUGGUUAUGAGCCACUGGUUAGUGAAGACUCACGGCUGCUCACUUCCAAGCUUGGACCCUCAUUCUAUCCAAGCUUGAGGAGGGGAGUUAAGUGAGCAGAAGAAGAAAGUUCCACAAGAGCAUUCCCUGAAGCUGGCGAGUUGAAGAAGUGCUGCAAGGGUCUGAUGGUGUGAUCAUGAAGCUGCUCUCCCAAGCUUGACUUGUUCCACAUGGUCAAUCUUGAGGGGGAGUGUUGAGAAGACUUCAAAUGAUCACAAAGGUGCCGGUUCAAGAAGGUGGACGGCAGUGAGCAAAUGUAGAGAAUCAAGAAGCUCUCCUUCCAAGCUUGACUUGUUCCACAUGGUCAAGCUUGAGGGGGAGUGUUGAGAAGGCUUCUUGACGAGAGCACUUGGCGGUUAUUCAAGAAGAGGAGCAUACCGGUUGGUGAAGCAAGAUGGAGGAUGGUGAAGCAAUCUCCAAGGCGGCCAGAGCAGAGCAGCCUUGGUACUACAGACUGAGGCAUCCGAUCAUGAAGCUUUAGAACAAGGUGGAAACUCUAGAAGAAGAAGCAGCCAAGGCUCAGCUAUUACAAGAUGAAGAGUGAUGAGCAAGAGAAGAUGUGAUCUACCUUGCAUCACAAGAAGGGGCCGAGAUCCAGAGUCUUUGUGUCCCUUACAUUGUUGGUAAGGCACAAAGACUCACUGGCCAAUCCCUAGGCCUUGGAGGCUUUACUCUUUUUCCCUCAUCAAGGUUUUGUCCCAAAGGGUUUUCCUUGGUGAGGUUUUUAAUGAGGAAGUUCUUCAAGGUUCCAAGCUUGACUUAGGAUCAGCUAAAGUCAAGCUUGAGGGGGAGUGUUGACUUGAAGAAAAGAAAUGGAGUGGUGAAGGGUUGAGUUGAGAUUGAGUCUUCAGCAAGAAUAGGGCAAGACCUCCGGAGAUUAUCUAUGAAGACUUUAGGAGUGUAUGAAGGUGUCCAGAAGUGCUCAUAUGGCUGUGCAAAGAUAGGGCCAAGUCCAGGAGGGCCUUAGAAGAGUGUUUGGGAGCAAAUGGGCAAGUGUGCAUACUUAGGGCGAGGCAGUACGGAUGGUACGGACCUGUACGGAUCCGUACGGACCGAGACAACCCGAGGAAACACAACUUGGCCAUUUGAGAUGUUUUGAGAUGGUGCAAAGUCCGGGACAAGAUGUGCAAACUUAGGGCGUGAUCAGAACAUGUCCGGGAGUCUGUGUGCAUACUUAGGGCUGAUAAAAAGAAGUCUGGUCGUGAAGCAUCAAAAGGGAAUCAAGAAGAUCCUUUGUGGAGGCAAGCGGCCAAUGAGAGCAAAGAUGGAGCUGAUUGGUUACUUUGGAGGAUGGACAGGCUGGCUUUGGCUGUAAAGCCAAAGGGAGCCACGACCAUGAACAUGGUCUGAAUGAAGGCUUGAUACAUGGGAGCCUAUAAGGAGCCAAUGGGAGAACAGUCUUCCCUUUGACCAGUUUGAAUCAACCAAUCAGAUAUCAUAUAGCUCUCAUCCAAUCAAGACAUUUCACACAGAUUGCAAUCUCAACUCUUCAUCCUAGCCAUCCAUUUAUAUUCAGUCAUUUCUAUCCAUUAGAUUUAGGUUUAUGAGACUACAAAGUUGUAAACCUUAUAAAAGGAGGUGUGUGGCGAUUUUGUAAACCCUUAAGGGAGUUUGGGGGAUUUCCCCUCUCCACUUCAUAAUGAAAUGUGUUCUUGAAUCAGAUUCCCUUUAAUCUCUCCCUUUCUUAUACUCUUAAAUCUCUCAAAGUCUCUUGUUUCUGAUUUAAGUAAACACAUAAACACUCUUAUAAACUCUCUCUCUAAAAUCACCUAAAACAAACUCUAAUCUUCUCAGCUUGCUCCAUUGGAGCUUAU